Molecule: ribosomal RNA, 325 nt
Filed under: uncultured eukaryote
Lineage: Eukaryota
Description: partial 18S ribosomal RNA
Rfam family: Eukaryotic small subunit ribosomal RNA
Source: RNAcentral
CCCUUAGAUGUUCUGGGCUGCACGCGCGCUACACUGAUGCACUCAACGAGUUUACGACCUUGCCCGAUAGGGUUGGGUAAUCUUUUUAAAAUGCAUCGUGAUGGGGAUAGAUUAUUGCAAUUAUUAAUCUUCAACGAGGAAUUCCUAGUAAGCGCGAGUCAUCAGCUCGUGCUGAUUACGUCCCUGCCCUUUGUACACACCGCCCGUCGCUCCUACCGAUUGAGUGCUCAGGUGAAUAAUUCGGACUGCAGCAAUGUUUGGAUCCCGAACGUUGCAGCGGAAAGUUUAGUGAACCUUAUCACUUAGAGGAAGGAGAAGUCGUACC